Molecule: long non-coding RNA, 464 nt
Filed under: Carica papaya (papaya)
Lineage: Eukaryota; Viridiplantae; Streptophyta; Magnoliopsida; Brassicales; Caricaceae
Description: long non-coding RNA (CPAP_LNC000300)
Source: RNAcentral
UUUGUCAAAGCCCUUGUUCUUUGCCGGCCAACCUUCAUAUUCCUCUUCUUCUCCAACACGCAGGCCCGAAAACCCCUAAUUUUAUUUAUUAAUAUAUAUAUAUAUAUAUUUUUUUUUUUUUAUUUCCAUUCUCACUUCUCCGUCGGCCGCCAUCGCCAGGGCUUCACAGUCUUCUUCUUCUUCUUCAAAGGCAGAACUUGUCGCUAGAGUUACUCGGUUCAUUCUUUCGAGCUGCAAAAUCAGGUUUGCAUUCACCACCAGGCUCUAUACUCUCGGGGCUUGUUCAUUUAUUUAUGUUAGAUGCUCUGCAUUUCUUAGCCUUAUUCGAAUGAGUAUUUGUUUGAAGUGUAGGAAUUUUUAGUGCAUAAGCUCAUUGUUACGUUUGUAUGGUUACAAUGGCGCGGGAGUCAGGAAUUAUGAUGUUCGAACUUUGAAGUGAUGAGAUUGAUGUUUGCUUCUUUUAU